RNAcentral lists this ribosomal RNA (750 nucleotides) under Russula sanguinaria. RNAcentral's name for it is "eukaryotic LSU rRNA". The stretch from base 209 to 362 matches the Rfam family "5.8S ribosomal RNA". Lineage: Eukaryota; Fungi; Basidiomycota; Agaricomycetes; Russulales; Russulaceae. The record is from RNAcentral.
CUGCGGAAGGAUCAUUAUCGUACAACCGAGGCACAUGGGCUGUCGCUGACUUUUCGUCGUGCACGCCCAAGUGCUCUCAACCAUCCAUUUCACCCCUAUGUGCACCACCGCGUGGGUCCCCUUUCGGCUCGUCCCGAGGGGGGCUCGCGUUUUCACACAAACUCGAUGCAGUGUAGAAUGUCUCUUUGCGAUAACACGCAAUUAAUACAACUUUCAACAACGGAUCUCUUGGCUCUCGCAUCGAUGAAGAACGCAGCGAAAUGCGAUACGUAAUGUGAAUUGCAGAAUUCAGUGAAUCAUCGAAUCUUUGAACGCACCUUGCGCCCCUUGGCAUUCCGAGGGGCACACCCGUUUGAGUGUCGUGAAAUUCUCAAAAACCUUUCUUUUGUGAAAGGGUUUUGGACUUGGAGGCUUUUUGCUGGCUUCACCUUGAAGCGAGCUCCUCCCAAAUGAAUNAGUGGGGUCUGCUUUGCCGAUCCUUGACGUGAUAAGAUGUUACUACGUCUCGGGUUCGGCGAUGUCUCUUGGGCACCUGCUUCUAACCGUCUCAUCGACAAUGAUGGCGUUCCGGUCACCACCGUUUCGACGGUCGGGAGGCUUGACCCACCAAAAAAACCUUGACCUCAAAUCGGGUGAGACUACCCGCUGAACUUAAGCAUAUCAAUAAGCGGAGGAAAAGAAACUAACAAGGAUUCCCCUAGUAACUGCGAGUGAAGCGGGAAAAGCUCAAAAUUUAAANUUCUGGUGGCC